Molecule: signal recognition particle RNA, 266 nt
Filed under: Candidatus Acetothermia bacterium
Lineage: Bacteria; Candidatus Bipolaricaulota
Description: signal recognition particle sRNA large type
Rfam family: Bacterial large signal recognition particle RNA
About the family: The signal recognition particle (SRP) is a universally conserved ribonucleoprotein involved in the co-translational targeting of proteins to membranes. Archaeal SRP consists of a 7S RNA and homologues of the eukaryotic SRP19 and SRP54 proteins.
Source: RNAcentral
CUGUGCUAGGUGGGGGGCUAGCGGUCCCCUAUAUCCACAACCCGCUACAGUGGAACCGAAGGGUUCUCCGAGGGGGAAGAAAGCAGGGUCUGCCUUGGAUAAGCGGUGAUGAGGGUUGAGCCCUCUGCGGCGCAUGCCUGUAAACCCCGCCAGGCCCGGAAGGGAGCAGCGGUAAGCAAGCCUCUGCGGGUGUUAGAGGAUCCCUUGGCCUGAGCUGGCUGUCCACAGAAGCGUCUGUUGACUUCUUUCGAAGAGGCCACGCACAG